UACAGAGGGUGCGAGCGUUAAUCGGAUUUACUGGGCGUAAAGGGCGCGUAGGUGGUAAAGCAAGUCAGAUGUGAAAGCCCUGGGCUUAACCUGGGAAGUGCAUCUUAAACUGCUUAACUAGAGUAUGGUAGAGGGUAGUGGAAUUUCCGGUGUAGCGGUGAAAUGCGUAGAGAUCGGAAGGAACGCCAGUGGUGAAGACGACUACCUGGACCAAUACUGACACUGAGGCGCGAAAGCGUGGGGAUCAAACAGG
Molecule: ribosomal RNA, 253 nt
Filed under: uncultured bacterium
Lineage: Bacteria
Description: partial 16S ribosomal RNA
Rfam family: Bacterial small subunit ribosomal RNA
Source: RNAcentral